RNAcentral lists this ribosomal RNA (222 nucleotides) under uncultured bacterium. Its description in RNAcentral is "partial 16S ribosomal RNA". It matches the Rfam family "Bacterial small subunit ribosomal RNA", at positions 524 to 744 of the family's 1533-position model. The record is from RNAcentral.
UACGUAGGGUGCGAGCGUUUGUCCGGAAUUAUUGGGCGUAAAGAGCUUGUAGGCGGUUUGUCGCGUCUGCUGUGAAAAUCCGGGGCUCAACCCCGGACUUGCAGUGGGUACGGGCAGACUAGAGUGUGGUAGGGGAGACUGGAAUUCCUGGUGUAGCGGUGAAAUGCGCAGAUAUCAGGAGGAACACCGAUGGCGAAGGCGGGUCUCUGGGCCGAUACUGAC